RNAcentral lists this ribosomal RNA (170 nucleotides) under uncultured bacterium. RNAcentral describes it as "partial 16S ribosomal RNA". It matches the Rfam family "Bacterial small subunit ribosomal RNA", at positions 339 to 524 of the family's 1533-position model. The record is from RNAcentral.
CUACGGGAGGCAGCAGUGGGGAAUAUUGCGCAAUGGGCGAAAGCCUGACGCAGCAACGCCGCGUGAGGGAUGAAGGUUCUCGGAUCGUAAACCUCUGUCGAAUGGGAAGAAAUCUUGACGGUACCAUUAAAGGAAGCCCCGGCUAACUUCGUGCCAGCAGCCGCGGUAAU